UACGAAGGGGCUAGCGUUGCUCGGAAUUACUGGGCGUAAAGCGCACGUAGGCGGUCUUUUAAGUCGGGGUGAAAUCCUGGAGCUCAACUCCAGAACUGCCUUCGAUACUGGAAGACUUGAGUCCGGGAGAGGUGAGUGGAACUGCGAGUGUAGAGGUGAAAUUCGUAGAUAUUCGCAAGAACACCAGUGGCGAAGGCGGCUCACUGGCCCGGUACUGACGCUGAGGUGCGAAAGCG
Molecule: ribosomal RNA, 236 nt
Filed under: uncultured bacterium
Lineage: Bacteria
Description: partial 16S ribosomal RNA
Rfam family: Bacterial small subunit ribosomal RNA
Source: RNAcentral